This 2856-nucleotide ribosomal RNA is filed under the name Citrobacter freundii. RNAcentral's name for it is "partial 23S ribosomal RNA". It matches the Rfam family "Bacterial large subunit ribosomal RNA". Lineage: Bacteria; Pseudomonadati; Pseudomonadota; Gammaproteobacteria; Enterobacterales; Enterobacteriaceae. The record is from RNAcentral.
GGUUAAGCGACUAAGCGUACACGGUGGAUGCCCUGGCAGUCAGAGGCGAUGAAGGACGUGCUAAUCUGCGAUAAGCGUCGGUAAGGUGAUAUGAACCGUUAUAACCGGCGAUUUCCGAAUGGGGAAACCCAGUGUGAUUCGUCACACUAUCAUUACGUGAAUACAUAGCGUAAUGAAGCGAACCGGGGGAACUGAAACAUCUAAGUACCCCGAGGAAAAGAAAUCAACCGAGAUUCCCCCAGUAGCGGCGAGCGAACGGGGAGCAGCCCAGAGUCUGAAUCAGCUUGUGUGUUAGUGGAACGGUCUGGAAAGUCCGACGGUACAGGGUGAUAGUCCCGUACACCAAAAUGCACAGGUUGUGAACUCGAAGAGUAGGGCGGGACACGUGGUAUCCUGUCUGAAUAUGGGGGGACCAUCCUCCAAGGCUAAAUACUCCUGACUGACCGAUAGUGAACCAGUACCGUGAGGGAAAGGCGAAAAGAACCCCGGCGAGGGGAGUGAAAAAGAACCUGAAACCGUGUACGUACAAGCAGUGGGAGCAUCCUUUUGGGUGUGACUGCGUACCUUUUGUAUAAUGGGUCAGCGACUUAUAUUCUGUAGCAAGGUUAACCGUAUAGGGGAGCCGAAGGGAAACCGAGUCUUAACUGGGCGUUAAGUUGCAGGGUAUAGACCCGAAACCCGGUGAUCUAGCCAUGGGCAGGUUGAAGGUUGGGUAACACUAACUGGAGGACCGAACCGACUAAUGUUGAAAAAUUAGCGGAUGACUUGUGGCUGGGGGUGAAAGGCCAAUCAAACCGGGAGAUAGCUGGUUCUCCCCGAAAGCUAUUUAGGUAGCGCCUCGUGAACUCAUCUUCGGGGGUAGAGCACUGUUUCGGCUAGGGGGUCAUCCCGACUUACCAACCCGAUGCAAACUGCGAAUACCGAAGAAUGUUAUCACGGGAGACACACGGCGGGUGCUAACGUCCGUCGUGAAGAGGGAAACAACCCAGACCGCCAGCUAAGGUCCCAAAGUCAUGGUUAAGUGGGAAACGAUGUGGGAAGGCACAGACAGCCAGGAUGUUGGCUUAGAAGCAGCCAUCAUUUAAAGAAAGCGUAAUAGCUCACUGGUCGAGUCGGCCUGCGCGGAAGAUGUAACGGGGCUAAACCAUGCACCGAAGCUGCGGCAGCGACACUAUGUGUUGUUGGGUAGGGGAGCGUUCUGUAAGCCGUUGAAGGUGUAUCGUGAGGUAUGCUGGAGGUAUCAGAAGUGCGAAUGCUGACAUAAGUAACGAUAAUGCGGGUGAAAAACCCGCACGCCGGAAGACCAAGGGUUCCUGUCCAACGUUAAUCGGGGCAGGGUGAGUCGACCCCUAAGGCGAGGCCGAAAGGCGUAGUCGAUGGGAAACAGGUUAAUAUUCCUGUACUUGGUGUUACUGCGAAGGGGGGACGGAGAAGGCUAUGUUAGCCGGGCGACGGUUGUCCCGGUUUAAGCAUGUAGGCGGAGGUUCCAGGUAAAUCCGGUACCUUUUUAACGCUGAGGUGUGAUGACGAGGCACUACGGUGCUGAAGUAACAAAUGCCCUGCUUCCAGGAAAAGCCUCUAAGCAUCAGGUAACACAAAAUCGUACCCCAAACCGACACAGGUGGUCAGGUAGAGAAUACCAAGGCGCUUGAGAGAACUCGGGUGAAGGAACUAGGCAAAAUGGUGCCGUAACUUCGGGAGAAGGCACGCUGAUAUGUAGGUGAAGUGAUUUACUCAUGGAGCUGAAAUCAGUCGAAGAUACCAGCUGGCUGCAACUGUUUAUUAAAAACACAGCACUGUGCAAACACGAAAGUGGACGUAUACGGUGUGACGCCUGCCCGGUGCCGGAAGGUUAAUUGAUGGGGUUAUCCGUAAGGAGAAGCUCUUGAUCGAAGCCCCGGUAAACGGCGGCCGUAACUAUAACGGUCCUAAGGUAGCGAAAUUCCUUGUCGGGUAAGUUCCGACCUGCACGAAUGGCGUAAUGAUGGCCAGGCUGUCUCCACCCGAGACUCAGUGAAAUUGAACUCGCUGUGAAGAUGCAGUGUACCCGCGGCAAGACGGAAAGACCCCGUGAACCUUUACUAUAGCUUGACACUGAACACUGGUCCUUGAUGUGUAGGAUAGGUGGGAGGCUUUGAAGUGUGGACGCCAGUCUGCAUGGAGCCAUCCUUGAAAUACCACCCUUUAAUGGCUGGUGUUCUAACGUGGACCCGUUACCCGGGUUGCGGACAGUGUCUGGUGGGUAGUUUGACUGGGGCGGUCUCCUCCUAAAGAGUAACGGAGGAGCACGAAGGUUAGCUAAUCCUGGUCGGACAUCAGGAGGUUAGUGCAAAGGCAUAAGCUAGCUUGACUGCGAGAGUGACGGCUCGAGCAGGUGCGAAAGCAGGUCUUAGUGAUCCGGUGGUUCUGAAUGGAAGGGCCAUCGCUCAACGGAUAAAAGGUACUCCGGGGAUAACAGGCUGAUACCGCCCAAGAGUUCAUAUCGACGGCGGUGUUUGGCACCUCGAUGUCGGCUCAUCACAUCCUGGGGCUGAAGUAGGUCCCAAGGGUAUGGCUGUUCGCCAUUUAAAGUGGUACGCGAGCUGGGUUUAGAACGUCGUGAGACAGUUCGGUCCCUAUCUGCCGUGGGCGCUGGAGAAUUGAGGGGGGCUGCUCCUAGUACGAGAGGACCGGAGUGGACGCAUCACUGGUGUUCGGGUUGUCAUGCCAAUGGCAUUGCCCGGUAGCUAAAUGCGGAAGAGAUAAGUGCUGAAAGCAUCUAAGCACGAAACUUGCCCCGAGAUGAGUUCUCCCUGAGACUUUAAGUCUCCUGAAGGAACGUUGAAGACGACGACGUUGAUAGGUCGGGUGUGUAAG